This 475-nucleotide ribosomal RNA is filed under the name uncultured organism. RNAcentral describes it as "partial 16S ribosomal RNA". It matches the Rfam family "Bacterial small subunit ribosomal RNA", at positions 335 to 801 of the family's 1533-position model. The record is from RNAcentral.
ACUCCUGCGGGAGGCAGCAGUGGGGAAUUUUGGACAAUGGGCGAAAGCCUGAUCCAGCCAUGCCGCGUGCAGGAUGAAGGCCUUCGGGUUGUAAACUGCUUUUGUACGGAACGAAACGGCCUUUUCUAAUAAAGAGGGCUAAUGACGGUACCGUAAGAAUAAGCACCGGCUAACUACGUGCCAGCAGCCGCGGUAAUACGUAGGGUGCAAGCGUUAAUCGGAAUUACUGGGCGUAAAGCGUGCGCAGGCGGUUAUGUAAGACAGUUGUGAAAUCCCCGGGCUCAACCUGGGAACUGCAUCUGUGACUGCAUAGCUAGAGUACGGUAGAGGGGGAUGGAAUUCCGCGUGUAGCAGUGAAAUGCGUAGAUAUGCGGAGGAACACCGAUGGCGAAGGCAAUCCCCUGGACCUGUACUGACGCUCAUGCACGAAAGCGUGGGGAGCAAACAGGAUUAGAAACCCCUGUAGUCCCAUGAU